RNAcentral lists this long non-coding RNA (1121 nucleotides) under Homo sapiens (human). RNAcentral's name for it is "long intergenic non-protein coding RNA 2882". The record is from RNAcentral. Lineage: Eukaryota; Metazoa; Chordata; Mammalia; Primates; Hominidae.
AAAGGAGCCUUGUACACAAUCUCUAGGUGAGGAAUGACUUUGUAAUCCGAGGCAUAAGAGGAGAGUGUGCACAGAGGAGAGAUCAUGUGAGGACACAGCGAGAAGACAAUCAUCUGUAAGCCAAGGAGAGAGGCCUCAGAAAAAAAUCCACCCUGCUAAGAGCUUGAUCUUGGACUUACAGCCUCCAGGACUAACAAGAACCUGAGACCUGCCGAACAGCAGGUGCCAAAGAUGCUGCUGUAACACCACAGCCCUCCCAUCUUCCAUCCUCCACUGGCGCUGAGUGGCAGUCCCAUGUGACAGGAAGUGGAGGCAGAGCUGGGCCAGCCCAGGAGCCACGUGCUGGAGCCAGAUACUCUGUUUUUCUACAAAUGGAAAGUUUGUGGCAUCCUUGACUCAAGCAAAUUUUUCAGCACCAUUUUUCAAGAGCGUGUGCUCACUUCACCUCUCUGUAUCGUGUUUUGAUGCUUGUCCUGGAAACCAACCAUGAGCUGUGAUGAAAUCCAGGCAACUGAGUUGUGUUUCAGCCCAAAGCAGCAAAUGGAAUCCAGCUUCAGGACCAUCAUCUGACAUAGGGGAAGAAGACUUACAUAGAAGGCCUAACCAGCACCCAAGAUCAUGCUCAUAGGUGGAGGAGACUUGCUUUGUCUCAGAUGAGACUUUGGACUGUGGACUUUUGAGUUAAUGCUGAAAUGAGUUGAGACUUUGGGGAACUGUUGGGAAGGCAUGAUUGGUUUUAAAUAUGAAUAUAUGAGAUUUGGGAGGGGGUCAGGGGUGGAAUGAUAUGGUUUGGCUCUGUGUCCCCACCCAAAUCUCAUCUUGUAGCUCCCAUAAUCCUCCCAUGUUGUGGGAGGGACCCAGUGGGAGAUGAUUGAAUCAUGAGGGCGGGUCUUUCUCAUGCUGUUCAUGAUCCCAUUCAUGUGAGAAAGACCCAUGUGAUCAUGAAUGGGUCUCACAAGAUCUGAUGGUGUUAAAAAUGGGAGUUUCUCUGCACAAGCUCUCUGCCUGCUGCCAUUCACAAAGGAUGUGACUUGCUUCUCCUUGCCUUCUGCUAUGAUUGUGAGGCCUCCCUAGCCAUGUGGAACUGUGAGUCCAAUUAAACCUCUUUCUUUUGUAAAUUG